RNAcentral lists this ribosomal RNA (471 nucleotides) under uncultured Sporacetigenium sp. RNAcentral describes it as "bacterial SSU rRNA". It matches the Rfam family "Bacterial small subunit ribosomal RNA", at positions 9 to 507 of the family's 1533-position model. The record is from RNAcentral. Lineage: Bacteria; Bacillati; Bacillota; Clostridia; Peptostreptococcales; Tepidibacteraceae.
GAGUUUGAUCCUGGCUCAGGAUGAACGCUGGCGGCGUGCCUAACACAUGCAAGUCGAGCGAUCUUCUUCGGAAGAGAGCGGCGGACGGGUGAGUAACGCGUGGGUAACCUGCCCUGUACACACGGAUAACAUACCGAAAGGUAUGCUAAUACGGGAUGACAUAUGAAAGUCGCAUGGCUUUUAUAUCAAAGCUCCGGCGGUACAGGAUGGACCUGCGUCUGAUUAGCUAGUUGGUAAGGUAACGGCUUACCAAGGCGACGAUCAGUAGCCGACCUGAGAGGGUGAUCGGCCACACUGGAACUGAGACACGGUCCAGACUCCUACGGGAGGCAGCAGUGGGGAAUAUUGCACAAUGGGCGAAAGCCUGAUGCAGCAACGCCGCGUGAGCGAUGAAGGCCUUCGGGUCGUAAAGCUCUGUCCUCAAGGAAGAUAAUGACGGUACUUGAGGAGGAAGCCCCGGCUAACUACGUG